This 418-nucleotide ribosomal RNA is filed under the name uncultured Methanothermobacter sp. RNAcentral's name for it is "bacterial SSU rRNA". It matches the Rfam family "Archaeal small subunit ribosomal RNA", at positions 330 to 747 of the family's 1478-position model. Lineage: Archaea; Methanobacteriati; Methanobacteriota; Methanobacteria; Methanobacteriales; Methanobacteriaceae. The record is from RNAcentral.
GUGCACCAGGCGCGAAACCUCCGCAAUGCACGCAAGUGCGACGGGGGAACCCCAAGUGCCACUCUUAACGGGGUGGCUUUUCAGAAGUGUAAAAAGCUUCUGGAAUAAGGGCUGGGCAAGACCGGUGCCAGCCGCCGCGGUAACACCGGCAGCUCAGGUGGUAGCCGCUUUUAUUGGGCCUAAAGCGUCCGUAGCCGGUCUGAUAAGUCUCUGGUGAAAUCCCACAGCUUAACUGUGGGAAUUGCUGGAGAUACUAUCAUGACUCGAGGUCGGGAGAGGCUGGAGGUACUCCCAGGGUAGGGGUGAAAUCCUGUAAUCCUGGGAGGACCACCUGUGGCGAAGGCGUCCAGCUGGAACGAACCUGACGGUGAGGGACGAAAGCCAGGGGCGCGAACCGGAUUAGAUACCCCCGUAGUCC